UGCUUCCACUGUCCACCCCCCACCCCCCGGCCCCUGGGGUAAGUGCUGUUGACCUCAGGUCCAGUUUGUUUGCAGCCUCCCUCUUCUGACAGAUCGGGCUUCAGGUCGACCUUGGGGUAAUGGAUGAAGAACUACAGGUUUGAUCCUUACACGGGACAGUUUGCUUCACACUGAGAAAAACCUGGCUACUUUCUGCCUCCCAGCUCCAGUUGCAAACUGGAGUUAAAGUCGAGUUUCUGGCUCCCUGCAAAGUAUUCCUAGUACUAGAAAGUCACGUCACCCGGUGUGUUCGUGUGGUGACUGCAGCCAUAUCUAGUCCCAGCGAGUCGGCCUCCCAUUAGGGAUGAGCUAAGACAGCUCCUUCGUUUCUUCCUCACUCAGACUUAGCCCUGGAACUGGCAGUUCUGGGGACCAAGAGGUAGGCAUCUGCCUCCUGCAUAAUUAGUUACAUCAGUCUCAAAAAGCAUUGAUGGCCCAUCCCUUUGGGUAUCAUGCUGUGCCUGGCACGAGCUAGUAAUCCCCACCCGGUCCUGGCCCUCCCGAGUUUACAACCUUAAGUCACACAAUGACACAGAUCCCAAAGGCGAGCAGUUAACAAAUACAUCCACUUGUCCACCAAUCACAAGGGAUCCAUUGAGUGAGCCACUGCAACAAACAGGAACCCCUUCAAAGAGCUUCCAGUCUGGUGGGACCAACUACAUAAUCCUUGGUAAGAAAAGGAGGUGGCCCUGACAAGUGCAACUCGAGAAAUGCAAUGCUGUAGAGUCCAAAGGUGUCUGACUUGAACGAAAUGAUCCCACUGGGGGACAAUGCAACAUAUACUCCAGGGUCAUGUUUUGUCAUGAUGCAGCAAGGAGAUCUGUUCCUAACUUGGACUUGGUUGUCUAACCCUCAUCUCUUCUCUUUAUUACAAGGUAAGCAUAGUGGAAAACAUAUUGGACUUAGAUUCAAACACACCUGAACCUGUAACUUAUGAGCCAGGUGACCUUGGGGGUAAGUAAAUUUAUUUCUCUAAUGGGGUUAAAUAAUGCCUACUCAAUGCUUUAAAAGAUUUUCAGUGUGGAAUAAGACUGCAAAUGCUUACAAUAAUAGCACUAAGACUAAUAACAGCUAACAGUUAAUUAUAUAAUGCUUACUAUAUGCUAGGCACUGGUAUUAAGGUCUUUACAUGAAGCACUCAAUAAAUAUUAGCUGCAGAGAAAUCUCACGGAAUUGACUAUAUAACCUGCCCUAACUGACGGGAA
This 1244-nucleotide long non-coding RNA is filed under the name Homo sapiens (human). RNAcentral describes it as "HSALNT0408708". Lineage: Eukaryota; Metazoa; Chordata; Mammalia; Primates; Hominidae. The record is from RNAcentral.